RNAcentral lists this ribosomal RNA (261 nucleotides) under uncultured bacterium. RNAcentral describes it as "partial 16S ribosomal RNA". It matches the Rfam family "Bacterial small subunit ribosomal RNA", at positions 524 to 782 of the family's 1533-position model. The record is from RNAcentral.
GACAGAGGUGCCGAGCGUUAGGCGGAAUCACUGGGCUUAAAGCGCGUGUAGGCGGGAGGGCACGUCCGUCGCUGAAAUCCCCCGGCUCAACCGGGGAACGGGCGCGGAUACGACUCUCCUGGAGGGGCGUAGGGGGACCUGGAACUUCCGGUGGAGCGGUGAAAUGCGUUGAGAUCGGAAGGAACGCCCGUGGCGAAAGCGAGGUCCUGGACGCCUACUGACGCUGAGACGCGAAAGCCAGGGGAGCCGAACGGGAUUAAG